UACGUAGGGUCCGAGCGUUGUCCGGAAUUAUUGGGCGUAAAGAGCUCGUAGGCGGUUUGUCGCGUCUGCUGUGAAAACUCAGGGCUUAACCCUGAGCCUGCAGUGGGUACGGGCAGACUAGAGUGUGGUAGGGGAGAUCGGAAUUCCUGGUGUAGCGGUGGAAUGCGCAGAUAUCAGGAGGAACACCGGUGGCGAAGGCGGAUCUCUGGGCCAUAACUGACGCUGAGGAGCGAAAGCAUGGGGAGCGAACAGG
Molecule: ribosomal RNA, 253 nt
Filed under: uncultured bacterium
Lineage: Bacteria
Description: partial 16S ribosomal RNA
Rfam family: Bacterial small subunit ribosomal RNA
Source: RNAcentral